Hypoxylon sp. FL1284 is the source of this 105-nucleotide non-coding RNA. The record is from the annotation of a GenBank genome assembly. NCBI's taxonomy places the organism in Eukaryota, Fungi, Ascomycota, Sordariomycetes, Xylariales, Hypoxylaceae.
GGUCUGAUGGUCUAGUGGUAGGAUUCUCGCUUUGGGUCAUAACGUCGUCGGGUUUGUCGAUGGAAACACUGCGAGAGGUCCCGGGUUCAAUCCCCGGUCAGACCC